Molecule: unclassified non-coding RNA, 194 nt
Filed under: soil metagenome
Description: partial internal transcribed spacer 1
Source: RNAcentral
UCGAGUUUUGAACGGGUUGUUGCUGGCCUCAUACGGGGCAUGUGCACGCCUGACUUCAUCCACUCUUCAACCCCUGUGCACUUAUUGUAGGCUAGCGUGAAAGGUCGCAUUCAUUUGCGGCUGGAAGCCUGUCUACGCUUUACUACAAACGCUUCAGUUAUAGAAUGUUUAUCUGCGUAUAACGCAUUUAUAUA